Molecule: long non-coding RNA, 1020 nt
Filed under: Scleropages formosus (Asian bonytongue)
Lineage: Eukaryota; Metazoa; Chordata; Actinopteri; Osteoglossiformes; Osteoglossidae
Description: lncRNA (ENSSFOG00015024818.1)
Source: RNAcentral
GUUUCAACCUCUUCUCACCAGUGGCGUGAUUUGUGGAUAGCCCAGAGGAAAUAUUUCAUUGCGUACAGGAAGCAAAUAAAACCAGAUGCGGAACAGAGCAAACAGCGCACGUGACACCGCUGCAGCAGUUUUCAUUGAGAGCUCCAACAAAAGGCUGUAAAAGAGGUUCAAAGAUUAGUAGUGGGACUGAAAAUUUUGGAUAUGGCAGUUAAAUUUCAAGAGGAAAUCCCUCAGAAGAAACUGGAGAGUAAGAUACUUUCUUCCCCAGUGCAAGAAAGCGGAGCAUACCAAAGUAGUGCAAAAACCUGGAAAGCAUCUCAAUGCUCACCAUUUGGUUUGCCAAAUAAUCUGCAACAUCUUAAGUCUGAGAUGGAAGAGAUCCCAUGCCCUAAACAAGAACACUAUACACCAUACGCUACAACUGCCAAAGAGGGAGAUGACAGCGCCAGAGCUGGUCAGCAAAAUGAAGAUGGUGAAAACGCCAGUACAUCUGAAAAAGAAAGACCAUUGCCAACUCAAGCAAAGAAAGAAGAUGGAAGUGGUUUUAGCAGCAGUCCUAGGAGGAUCGGGGAACGAGUUAAAGGAAAACGGAAUGUCACGAUCACCCCUGUUAGACAUUCCAGGAGUUACAUAAAGAAAGCAGGUGAGAAAAGAGUGGUGGAGAGAAAUUAAACCUUAAUUUUUCUGCGUACAUGUGCAUGGUCAAAACACAGUACGGUGACUUUUUAAUGUAUACACAGUAUUAAUUUCUUGUAUCAUUAUACAUAUCUUUUCAGCGCUCUUUUUCAUGAUGUCAAGUAGUUUUCUCAUCUCUGGUAAGUACUUACAUGUUUAGCCAUUUAUACAAGAAAACCCAGGCAAGAAACAUGAACGUGAACCAACGCUAGACCAGGGUGUUGGUGCUCACCUGCAGCUCUGUGAUCCCUUCUUGUACCCCACAAAUCAUGUGAAAUUCACCAAUACCCUCAUAAGCUCAUAAUGAGAAAUAAAAGCAUAAUUUUAAGAAACUGAAAAAUGGAA